RNAcentral lists this transfer RNA (75 nucleotides) under Mus musculus (house mouse). RNAcentral describes it as "tRNA-Lys". Lineage: Eukaryota; Metazoa; Chordata; Mammalia; Rodentia; Muridae. The record is from RNAcentral.
AGGGGUGUAGCUCAAUGGUAGAGUACUAGCUGGACACUUACUCCAAAGUCCUGGGUUCAAUCCACAGCACUGCAA